UACGUAGGUGGCAAGCGUUGUCCGGAUUUACUGGGCGUAAAGAGCGCGCAGGCGGUCGUUCAAGUCGCGUGUGAAAGCCCCCGGCUCAACUGGGGAGGGUCACGCGAUACUGAUCGACUGGAAGGCAGGAGAGGGUAGUGGAAUUCCCGGUGUAGUGGUGAAAUGCGUAGAUAUCGGGAGGAACACCAGUGGCGAAGGCGGCUCACUGGACCAUUACUGACGCUGAGGUGCGAAAGCGUGGGGAGCAAACAGG
Molecule: ribosomal RNA, 253 nt
Filed under: uncultured bacterium
Lineage: Bacteria
Description: partial 16S ribosomal RNA
Rfam family: Bacterial small subunit ribosomal RNA
Source: RNAcentral